This 74-nucleotide transfer RNA is filed under the name Schistocerca americana (American grasshopper). Its description in RNAcentral is "tRNA-Thr". It matches the Rfam family "tRNA". From Rfam's summary of the family: Transfer RNA (tRNA) molecules are approximately 80 nucleotides in length. Their secondary structure includes four short double-helical elements and three loops (D, anti-codon, and T loops). Further hydrogen bonds mediate the characteristic L-shaped molecular structure. tRNAs have two regions of fundamental functional importance: the anti-codon, which is responsible for specific mRNA codon recognition, and the 3' end, to which the tRNAs corresponding amino acid is attached (by aminoacyl-tRNA synthetases). tRNAs cope with the degeneracy of the genetic code in two manners: having more than one tRNA (with a specific anti-codon) for a particular amino acid; and 'wobble' base-pairing, i.e. permitting non-standard base-pairing at the 3rd anti-codon position. The record is from RNAcentral. Lineage: Eukaryota; Metazoa; Arthropoda; Insecta; Orthoptera; Acrididae.
CCCUCGAUGGCUCAGUCGGAUAGAGCAUCUGCCAUGUAAGCAGGAGAUCCCGGGUUCGAGUCCCGGCUGGGGUA